This 329-nucleotide unclassified non-coding RNA is filed under the name soil metagenome. RNAcentral's name for it is "partial contains 5.8S ribosomal RNA, internal transcribed spacer 2, and large subunit ribosomal RNA". The stretch from base 1 to 120 matches the Rfam family "5.8S ribosomal RNA", at positions 35 to 154 of the family's 154-position model. The record is from RNAcentral.
GAUGAAGAACGCAGCGAAAUGCGAUAAGUAAUGUGAAUUGCAGAAUUUAGUGAAUCAUCGAAUCUUUGAACGCACAUUGCGCCCCUUGGUAUCCCGAGGGGCAUGCCUGUUCGAGCGUCAUUUCACCACUCAAGCCUGGCUUGGUGUUGGGCGACGUCCUCUUUGGGGACGCGCCUCGAAACGCUCGGCGGCGUGGCACCGGCUUUAAGCGUAGCAGAAUCUUUCGCUUUGGAAGUCGGGGCCCCGUCUGCCGGAAGACCUGCUCGCAAGGUUGACCUCGGAUCAGGCAGGGAUACCCGCUGAACUUAAGCAUAUCAAUAAGCGGAGGA